This 73-nucleotide transfer RNA is filed under the name Salmo salar (Atlantic salmon). It matches the Rfam family "tRNA". Rfam says of the family: Transfer RNA (tRNA) molecules are approximately 80 nucleotides in length. Their secondary structure includes four short double-helical elements and three loops (D, anti-codon, and T loops). Lineage: Eukaryota; Metazoa; Chordata; Actinopteri; Salmoniformes; Salmonidae. The record is from Rfam by way of RNAcentral.
UUCCCUGUAGCUCAGUUGGUAGAGCAUGGUGUUUGCAACGCCAGGGUUGUGGGUUCGAUUCCCACGGGGGACA